AAAGGCUCAGCACAUUGCUCCAAAAUUAGCUCUGAAUAGUGCAAUAUUUUUUCCUUUGUCGAGUACCUAAGUCUUCUAAUUGUUGGGAUUCAUAGCUUGAGACUCAGCCUGAGAAGCUUCCCCAAAACUAGCACUCAAGAGGGAUUUGUGGUAAUAUGAUGAAAAAGGAUCUCUUUACCAGGUAUCUUUUAUUAUUUCUAUUGAAGCAGAUAAAUCAAUAGUCUAGUGGAUUUAUUAUCUUUUUUCUUUCUUUGUAUUUAGCUAUGUGUUCCAAGAAGUAUUAAAAAUUAAAGAUCAUGGAAUGAAAUGGACAUCAAUACACUAGGCAUGUGUACGAUUGCAUGAAUGGUGUGACUCUACAUCAUGUCCAACCAGAGAAAUGAAAAGUUGUGCUCCAUCUGUGUACAAUGAAUCAGAAUUCAUUCUACUGUCAUGUAUAACUAAUUAGAAC
RNAcentral lists this long non-coding RNA (451 nucleotides) under Marmota monax (woodchuck). The record is from RNAcentral. Lineage: Eukaryota; Metazoa; Chordata; Mammalia; Rodentia; Sciuridae.